CGCGAAUAGCUCAUUACAACAGCUAUAAUUUACUUGAAUUUGACAACCCUACUUGGAUACCGGUGGUAAUUCUAGCGCUAAUACAUGCACCAAAGCUCCGACCGCGAGGGAAGAGCGCAUUUAUUAGAACAAAACCACACGGCUUCGGCCGUCCAAUGUUGACUCAGAAUAACUAAGCUGAUCGCAUGGUCUUGCACCGGCGACGUUUCUUUCAAGUAUCUGCCUUAUCAACUUUCGAUGGUAGUGUAUCUGACUACCAUGGUGAUGACGGGUAACGGAGGAUAAGGGUUCGACUCCGGAGAAGGGGCCUGAGAAAUGGCCACUACGUCUAAGGAUGGCAGCAGGCGCGCAAAUUACCCACUCUCAGUACGAGGAGGUAGUGACGAGAAAUAACAAGACCGUUCUCACAAGAGGCCGGUCAUUGGAAUGGGUACAAUUUAAACCCUUUAACGAGUAUCUAUGAGAGGGCAAGUCCGGUGCCAGCAGCCGCGGUAAUUCCAGCU
Molecule: ribosomal RNA, 503 nt
Filed under: Tylenchorhynchus teeni
Lineage: Eukaryota; Metazoa; Nematoda; Chromadorea; Rhabditida; Telotylenchidae
Description: SSU rRNA
Rfam family: Eukaryotic small subunit ribosomal RNA
Source: RNAcentral